Molecule: long non-coding RNA, 395 nt
Filed under: Capsicum annuum
Lineage: Eukaryota; Viridiplantae; Streptophyta; Magnoliopsida; Solanales; Solanaceae
Description: long non-coding RNA (CANN_LNC005453)
Source: RNAcentral
UGCUUGAGUAGACCUCAGGUUCAUGUCUUACCCAUAGGAAAUGAAACACAACAUUUUCAGGACAUGUUGAAUGUUGGAGAAUUGAGAACACUGCAGCCAUAGUACCUCUCAAAUAAUUAGCAUCAAGUGUCAUGGCCACAUGAAUCCGGUCCACGUCCAAAUUUCCGCAGGUCUCCCCAUUGCGGAACGCAUGGGCCUCACGGAACACAGAAUAAUUUGACCCAACCCGUCCAUCUGGCACAUCAGGUAGAAUGUUAAGAUGAACGUGAACGUCUGUAGUUGUAGUGGUCAAGGAGGUUUGAUGGAAAAGCAAGAGAGACAGGAGGCCAAGGAGAGGAAGAGAAGAUGAAAGGCUCCAAAAGGCCAUCCAGCUCUUUGCAUUUGAAGCAAUAAUA